AUGUUGCUGUCUGCUUGGUCGCUGCUCGUCAUCGCCGUGGCAGGCGCCAGCGGUGACGAGUUGGAGGCAGUCACGAGCGAAGUGUUGGCCUCAGAAGGCGAACAGGUCACACUGUCGUACGAUUACGCCAAUAAAGCUGCAGGUUCUGAUUAUUUCUUCUGGUUCCGACAACUUCCUGGACAACCGCCCAACUUCCUGCUCUCUCACUUGGGAAGCGGCAGCCAGUUAAACGCCAAGUCAGGAAUGUCGGCGAGCGUCGCAAGUGACGGGAGGCGAGUGCACCUGCACAUCGAGGAUGCGACACUUGAGCACUCUGCAGUGUACUACUGUGCAGUGAGGCCCACAGUGACACAAGCGCCACGUUCUCCGUACCAGAACCCAAACGCAUCACAUCCCACUGCGCUGUCGUAG
This is a non-coding RNA of Syngnathoides biaculeatus (alligator pipefish), 411 nucleotides long. NCBI's taxonomy places the organism in Eukaryota, Metazoa, Chordata, Actinopteri, Syngnathiformes, Syngnathidae. The record is from the annotation of a RefSeq genome assembly.